RNAcentral lists this microRNA precursor (67 nucleotides) under Bombyx mori (domestic silkworm). RNAcentral describes it as "mir-2774 microRNA precursor family". It matches the Rfam family "mir-2774 microRNA precursor family". Lineage: Eukaryota; Metazoa; Arthropoda; Insecta; Lepidoptera; Bombycidae. The record is from Rfam by way of RNAcentral.
AUAACAUUCGUACCGUCGCCCCACCGAGCGAUUUUACCCGAUCGGUGGAAGUUCUUGCCUUUCUCGU